Aphis gossypii (cotton aphid) is the source of this 874-nucleotide long non-coding RNA. RefSeq lists it as uncharacterized. The record is from RefSeq and is a predicted model, not a curated record. The transcript has 4 exons. NCBI's taxonomy places the organism in Eukaryota, Metazoa, Arthropoda, Insecta, Hemiptera, Aphididae.
ACGUACCUUGCUAAAUUGUAUAUAACCUUUCAAAUCUGACAUUGAAAUGUAGAAGUCAAUUACAUUCUUUUAGAUACAAAUCGCACUUGUUAUUACAUUCUAUUUUUUCGAAUUGAAAAGACGUACCUUUCAAAUUUUAUUCUAGUUAGUGUUUUAGCUGAACUGAUUAUUUUAAACUUAAGAGGAGGAGUAGAAGUGGUUAUAUAUAAUAUAUAUAUAAGAGACUCAUCGAUACAGUAUAUUCAGUUUACUUCAACAGAUUUACAAUCUAGACUUUUUUUUCUUUUAAUAAAAUUAAUUUAAUUUUGAAAAAAUGUCCUGCUACUCAUUUAAAAGCGAUGACGAGGAGUCGGUUGUAUUUUCCGAAGAUAAUAUUGCAACAACAUCUCAAAAAAAGGUACAUCGAAAAGGUUAGCUGUAAAACCGGAGAAGAAACCGGUAUCGAAAAAGACGAAAAAGAGCACUGCUAUUUGUUAUACAGACAAAAUAUUAGAUUUAAUAACAGAUCCAACUAUACCAACCGAUGCAAAGAACACCUUGAAUAUAAAAAAGGAUGAUUGUUCAUUAACGGUUAAGACACCUGUAGACAAUACGGCUGUAGAUUACUGGACUAUAGCACAUUAUAAAUGUGCUAAAAUUGCUAAUGUUGCUCUGCAAGAUAGAUGGAAGCAUGCUGAAUGCUCACUCAAAAUAUCUUUAACAGGACAGCAUCCGGAUGAUUUAACUACAGCCAAAGAAAUGGUGACGCUCAUUCAAUCUGUUUUCGACAAAAUGAUGCGACAUCCCGCCAAGAAGCUAAUCAGACACAAACCAAAAAAAAUAAACUUAUAAAAUGUAUGUAAUAGGAUAUGGUGUUGGAUUAAUUUUAUUUAAU